UGAACGCUAGCGACAGGCCUAACACAAUGCAAGUCGAGGGGCGAGCACCGAAGGAGCAAUCUGAGGUGGCGACCGGCGCACGGGUGAGUAACACGUAUGCAACCUGCCUGUAAGCGGGGAAUAACCCGUUGAAAGACGGACUAAUACCGCAUAAUACUAAAUUACUGCAUGGUAAUUUAUUUAAACAUUUAUGGCUUACAGAUGGGCAUGCGCAUGAUUAGCUAGUUGGAGAGGUAACGGCUCCCCAAGGCAACGAUCAUUAGGGGUUCUGAGAGGAAGGUCCCCCCACACUGGUACUGAGACACGGACCAGACUCCUACGGGAGGCAGCAGUGAGGAAUAUUGGUCAAUGGACGAGAGUCUGAACCAGCCAAGUCGCGUGCAGGAAGAAUUGUCCUAUGGAUUGUAAACUGCUUUUGCAGGGGAAUAAAGUGCAUCACGUGUGAUGUUUUGUAUGUACUCUGCGAAUAAGGAUCGGCUAACUCCGUGCCAGCCGCCGC
RNAcentral lists this ribosomal RNA (499 nucleotides) under uncultured bacterium. Its description in RNAcentral is "bacterial SSU rRNA". It matches the Rfam family "Bacterial small subunit ribosomal RNA", at positions 30 to 518 of the family's 1533-position model. The record is from RNAcentral.